ACGCUGGCGGCGUGCCUAAUACAUGCAAGUCGAACGAGAGCGACCGGUGCUUGCACUGGUCAAUCUAGUGGCGAACGGGUGAGUAACACGUGGGUAACCUGCCCAUCAGAGGGGGAUAACAUUCGGAAACGGAUGCUAAAACCGCAUAGGUCUUCGAACCGCAUGGUUUGAAGAGGAAAAGAGGCGCAAGCUUCUGCUGAUGGAUGGACCCGCGGUGCAUUAGCUAGUUGGUGAGGUAACGGCUCACCAAGGCCGUGAUGCAUAGCCGACCUGAGAGGGUGAUCGGCCACAUUGGGACUGAGACACGGCCCAAACUCCUACGGGAGGCAGCAGUAGGGAAUCUUCCGCAAUGGACGCAAGUCUGACGGAGCAACGCCGCGUGAGUGAAGAAGGUUUUCGGAUCGUAAAACCCUGUUGUUAGAGAAGAACAAGUGCUAGAGUAACUGUUAGCGCCUUGACGGUAUCUAACCAGAAAGCCACGGCUAACUACGUGCCAGCAGCCGCGGUAAUACGUAGGUGGCAAGCGUUGUCCGGAUUUAUUGGGCGUAAAGCGAGCGCAGGCGGUUCCUUAAGUCUGAUGUGAAAGCCCCCGGCUCAACCGGGGAGGGUCAUUGGAAACUGGGGAACUUGAGUGCAGAAGAGGAGAGUGGAAUUCCAUGUGUAGCGGUGAAAUGCGUAGAUAUAUGGAGGAACACCAGUGGCGAAGGCGACUCUCUGGUCUGUAACUGACGCUGAGGCUCGAAAGCGUGGGUAGCAAACAGGAUUAGAUACCCUGGUAGUCCACGCCGUAAACGAUGAGUGCUAAGUGUUGGAGGGUUUCCGCCCUUCAGUGCUGCAGUUAACGCAUUAAGCACUCCGCCUGGGGAGUACGACCGCAAGGUUGAAACUCAAAGGAAUUGACGGGGACCCGCACAAGC
This 917-nucleotide ribosomal RNA is filed under the name uncultured bacterium. RNAcentral describes it as "bacterial SSU rRNA". It matches the Rfam family "Bacterial small subunit ribosomal RNA", at positions 33 to 930 of the family's 1533-position model. The record is from RNAcentral.